GAGUUUGAUCCUGGCUCAGAUUGAACGCUGGCGGUAUGCAUAACACAUGCAAGUCGAACGGUAGCAGGCUCGGGAAACCGAGUGCUGACGAGUGGCGGACGGGUGAGUAAUGCGUAGGGAUUUGCCUAGUAGAGGGGGAUAACCUGGGGAAACUCAGGCUAAUACCGCAUAUGCCUAAGGGUGAAAGAGGGGGACCGUAAAAGGCCUCUUGCUACUGGAUGAACCUGCGUAGGAUUAGCUAGUUGGUAGG
This 250-nucleotide ribosomal RNA is filed under the name uncultured bacterium. Its description in RNAcentral is "partial 16S ribosomal RNA". It matches the Rfam family "Bacterial small subunit ribosomal RNA", at positions 9 to 256 of the family's 1533-position model. The record is from RNAcentral.